UGGGGAAUAUUGGACAAUGGGCGCAAGCCUGAUCCAGCCAUACCGCGUGGGUGAAGAAGGCCUUCGGGUUGUAAAGCCCUUUUGUUGGGAAAGCAAUCCUAUCGGUUAAUAACCGGUGGGGAUGACGGUACCCAAAGAAUAAGCACCGGCUAACUUCGUGCCAGCAGCCGCGGUAUAACGAAGGGUGCAAGCGUUACUCGGAAUUACUGGGCGUCAAGCGUGCGUAGGUGGUGGUCUAAGUCUGCUGUGAAAGCCCUGGGCUCAACCCGGGAAAUGCAGUGGAUACUAGAUCACUAGAGUGGGGUAGAGGAAUGCGGAAUUACUGGUGUAGCUGUGAAAUGCGUAGAAAUCAGAAGGAACAUCCGUGGCGAAGGCGGCAUCCAGGGCCAACACUGACACUGAGGCACGAAAGCGUGGGGAGCAAACA
Molecule: ribosomal RNA, 427 nt
Filed under: uncultured bacterium
Lineage: Bacteria
Description: bacterial SSU rRNA
Rfam family: Bacterial small subunit ribosomal RNA
Source: RNAcentral